This 547-nucleotide ribosomal RNA is filed under the name uncultured fungus. Its description in RNAcentral is "eukaryotic LSU rRNA". The stretch from base 223 to 375 matches the Rfam family "5.8S ribosomal RNA". Lineage: Eukaryota; Fungi. The record is from RNAcentral.
UCCGUAGGUGAACCUGCGGUUGGAUCAUUAAUGAAUUAUGUUUCAACGUGUAGUUGAAGCUAAUUAGGGGUGAGAGUCUGAUAAGUCGCAAGACUUUGACGGAUCUCCCUCGCAUACCCAUGUGAAUUGUUUUAGUUACUUUGAAUUUUAUUCAUUGAUUGACUACCCAAACAUUAAAGUCAUUAGAAACUAGUCUUAAUAAGAACAACUUAAUGUUGAAACAACUUUUGACAACGGAUCUCUUGGCUCUCGCAACGAUGAAGAACGCAGCGAAAUGCGAUACGUAAUGUGAAUUGCAAAUUUCGUGAAUCAUCGAAUCUUUGAACGCAUAUUGCACUUCUUGGUAUCCCGAGAAGUAUGCCUGUUUGAGAAUCAGUUUCAACUUUCACCCUUUAGUGGGUGGAUUUGAGUAUUUGUCUUUGGGCAUUACUUUGAACUUAGUGUAUUGAACUAAAGGUUACUUGAUGCCUUUAAGCGUUAUUUAUUUGGGGACUCUGGUCUUCAAUUUUUCGCUUAAAGUGCAGACUUAAGUCAAUACUCACCGAAA